Molecule: long non-coding RNA, 587 nt
Organism: Brassica oleracea var. oleracea
Lineage: Eukaryota; Viridiplantae; Streptophyta; Magnoliopsida; Brassicales; Brassicaceae
Exons: 2
Source: RefSeq, a predicted model, not a curated record
UACAUCAAUCAAUCAAGGGAUUUAAUAUUACAGAGUAAAUGAGGCAAAAAAGUUUGAAAAAUGAACUGAUUGGGUGUGAGUCCCGAUAAUGCGCAUUCAUUUCGGACACAUCUAUAAUUAGCCUCCUCCUCAUCAGAGUAAGAAACAUCUCGAGAACAAUUAUCCUUACAAUUUCAGGUUAAGAUGUCUGGCACAGCAGAAGAUAUUUACAAGAUAGGAAAAACAGCAGCCACUGAACACUAUCGGGCCAUAUUUCAGAUAGUGAAGGAUCAUGAUAAAGAGAAUAAUAAAAGGCACAAAUCCGAAAUCGAGAAGCACUCUAUUUCAGAUCAAAUAGAGUUUCUUGAAGAGAUUAUGGAGAAAAGGGUGUCUUGCUUCAACAUCGUGGAAGAGAAGGACAAAAUCGAAGUCCCAUAUAUAGACUGGGACAAGCUGGGGGAGCCCUUCAUGUCCAAGCCCUUAGUGGCCCCUCCUCCUUUAUCAAAACGUUUUAAUAUUUAUGUUUUUAUAUUUACUUUUGAAACCUGAAAACAUUGACGUUACCAGUUUUGUAAACCGGAUUAUAUUAUAAGUUGCUUUUAUGGAUA